GUACCUAAACAAAUUUAAAAAGUUAAGCUUUUGAAUAAAUAUUAAAGAUAUUAUUCCCUUGUAGUGUAGUUUAAUAGCUAUCUACAUAAUAACUUAACAUUAAGUAUGUUAGUUUAUAUUUUAUAGUAUGACGCUGACAAUUUUGCUAAUAGUUGAAAAUGUUAGUAUUAGUAAUAUUAGUAUAUGUGCUAAAGGAACUCGGCAAAAAACCACUCAACUGUUUAUCAAAAACAUAGCUAUAUGAAUUAGUAUAUAGUUAUUUCUGCUCAAUGACUUAAAUAGCCGCAGUACUCUGACUGUGCAAAGGUAGCAUAAUCAGUUGGCUUUUAAUUAGAGUCUGGUAUGAACGAAAAUAUGGGUAGUAACUGUCUUAGCACAUUUUUUUGAAUUUGUUAAACAAGUGCAAAUACUUGUAACUUAACAAUAGACGAGAAGACCCUAGAAACUUAGACAUGUUUUUGUUGGGGCGACAGAAUUACAUUUAACUAAUCUUUUAAUACAUGACGCGAUGCUGAAAGAGUAAGUUACUCUAGGGAUAACAGCAUAAUUUCAUUAGUUUGUGACCUCGAUGUUGGACUAGGUACUAUACCCUUAAGGCAAGGAUAUAUUGUGCUCUGUUCGAGCAAAAUUACCUACAU
This 638-nucleotide ribosomal RNA is filed under the name Helix pomatia (Roman snail). RNAcentral's name for it is "partial 16S ribosomal RNA". The record is from RNAcentral. Lineage: Eukaryota; Metazoa; Mollusca; Gastropoda; Stylommatophora; Helicidae.